RNAcentral lists this unclassified non-coding RNA (366 nucleotides) under Hevea brasiliensis (rubber tree). Lineage: Eukaryota; Viridiplantae; Streptophyta; Magnoliopsida; Malpighiales; Euphorbiaceae. The record is from RNAcentral.
UGCAUAUGCACGGACUAAUAACAAGGUGAUUAUUGGCCCAGCUACUGUUGGGGGUAUUCAAGCGGGAGCCUUUAAGAUAGGUGACACUGCUGGAACGAUUGACAAUAUAGUUCAGUGCAAGCUUUACAGACCUGGAUCUGUUGGAUUUGUGUCCAAAUCGGGAGGCAUGUCUAAUGAGAUGUACAACACAAUUGCACGUGUGACAGAUGGAAUUUAUGAAGGCAUUGCAAUUGGUGGGGAUGUUUUUCCAGGCUCUACUCUAUCUGAUCAUAUUUUGCGAUUUAACAACAUCCCACAGGUCAAAAUGAUGGUUGUGCUGGGGGAACUUGGUGGCCAGGAUGAGUAUUCUUUAGUUGAAGCCCUAAA